This 694-nucleotide ribosomal RNA is filed under the name uncultured bacterium. Its description in RNAcentral is "bacterial SSU rRNA". It matches the Rfam family "Bacterial small subunit ribosomal RNA", at positions 32 to 715 of the family's 1533-position model. The record is from RNAcentral.
AACGCUAGCUACAGGCUUAACACAUGCAAGUCGAGGGGCAGCAUUAUCGAAGCUUGCUUUGAUAGAUGGCGACCGGCGCACGGGUGAGUAACGCGUAUCCAACCUUCCCCAUAGUCAGGAAUAGCCCGGCGAAAGUCGAAUUAAUGCCUGAUGUUUUCCACGGACGGCAUCUGAUGUGGAACAAAGAUUGAUCGCUAUGGGAUGGGGAUGCGUCUGAUUAGCUUGUUGGCGGGGUAACGGCCCACCAAGGCAACGAUCAGUAGGGGUUCUGAGAGGAAGGUCCCCCACAUUGGAACUGAGACACGGUCCAAACUCCUACGGGAGGCAGCAGUGAGGAAUAUUGGUCAAUGGGCGAGAGCCUGAACCAGCCAAGUAGCGUGCAGGACGACGGCCCUAUGGGUUGUAAACUGCUUUUAUAAGGGAAUAAAGUGAGUCUCGUGAGACUUUUUGCAUGUACCUUAUGAAUAAGGACCGGCUAAUUCCGUGCCAGCAGCCGCGGUAAUACGGAAGGUCCGGGCGUUAUCCGGAUUUAUUGGGUUUAAAGGGAGCGCAGGCCGUGGGUUAAGCGUGUCGUGAAAUUCCGUCGCUCAACGGCGGACGUGCGGCGCGAACUGGUCCACUUGAGUACGCGGGACGUUGGCGGAAUUCGUGGUGUAGCGGUGAAAUGCUUAGAUAUCACGAAGAACUCCGAUUG